Molecule: ribosomal RNA, 367 nt
Filed under: uncultured bacterium
Lineage: Bacteria
Description: partial 16S ribosomal RNA
Rfam family: Bacterial small subunit ribosomal RNA
Source: RNAcentral
CCUACGGGAGGCUGCAGUGGGGAAUAUUGCGCAAUGGGCGAAAGCCUGACGCAGCGACGCCGCGUGAGGGAUGAAGGUCUUCGGAUCGUAAACCUCUGUCAGCAGGGAAGAACGGUCACUGUGCUAAGCAGCAGUGAAUGGACGGUACCGGCAAAGGAAGCACCGGCUAACACCGUGCCAGCAGCCGAGGUAAUACGGAGGGUGCGAGCGUUAAUCGGAAUUACUGGGCGGAAAGCGCUCGUGGGCGGUAUGUCAAGGAAAGGGUGAAAGCCCCGCGCUCCACGUGGGAACUUCCUUUGCAACUGGCUACCUGGAGUGUGUGAGAGUAUAGUGGAAUUCCAGGUGUUGGCGUGCAAUCCGUAGAUAU